Molecule: long non-coding RNA, 1943 nt
Filed under: Medicago truncatula (barrel medic)
Lineage: Eukaryota; Viridiplantae; Streptophyta; Magnoliopsida; Fabales; Fabaceae
Description: long non-coding RNA (MTRU_LNC000031)
Source: RNAcentral
UGUUUUCCUGAGGUUGAAAUGAUCAGGUACAAAUGGCCUCGACCGAGAGUUUCUUCAAGACAUUUGGACAUGGAUCUCCUCCAAAAUUUUCAGGUGACACAGUUACCUUGCACGAGUUUUGUCCAACACAAUUCUGUAGAAAAAAAAAAUCACUUUUGAUUAAUGAAACAAGUAUAAGUGACAAUCAAAUACGAAUGGUUGCAAAUUUGACUUUUCGACUUGAACCUAAAAGAUUUCAUUUUAGAGCCUUUAGUACUGCAAAGAGUUAAAUAUUGAUACACUGUUAGUGUAACGUUUUUAAUGAUCUGACGAUUAUGAUUGACUGACAGUGGAAAAAAGUCUUUAUACUGACGAUAUAUAUGCAUUGAAUCUUAACUUAAAAAGAUAUCAUGUUUUUCAGAAACCAUGUCUAGCUAUAGCAAUACCUUUUCAAAGGUAUUAUAAGACUUGUGAGCAUGACAGCUUCCUUCAUGAAAGUUUCCACAAGACCCUACUGGAGUACCAAAGCUAGCGAAUUUGAUCGAUGAUAUUUUCUGUCCAGGGCCACAAGAUAAAUGUGCUUUUGGUCUCACAGGUUUGUUAGUUUUGCCAGAAGUUUGCAUCUGAUAACUUAUAAGAUUUGGCUGCCACUCAUAAAUAUCUGCACAUACACUAUCUAUAUCCCUUCUAACCAAAAAUAUCCCAUUAGGGUCUCCACCCAAUUCUUCAAACACAACCAAUAAAUUUCCAGUUGGUAUCAGCCAUGAAUGAGGAACAUGGUACCUGAAAUUACCAUUUAGUGAUUAGUUUAUCAAUAAUUUAUCAUCGGCAUUAGGCAAAACUAUACGGAAAACUUUAUAUUUCUCACUUACCAUCUUUGAGAAGCCUCGCCGCAGUUACUUCUACAUUUAUUCUCGUUAUAAGUUCCUGCAUAGUCACAGUUAUCACAGGUCCCGGACGCUUUAUAAGCAGGCCAGUAACGGCCAAGAUUCUGUCCAUUUAACCACACUUGUCCUUUUCCCAUACUUCCCAUGUCUAAAGCAAACGGUGCAAUUCCGUCCGGGGCAUCGAAGGUAGUUUUGUACCAAGUCAACGGCUGCAUACGAGAAACUAAACUCCCCUGAACCCACUCGACCGAGGAACUUCCACCGAGAGAAUGAAGACUCAAGGCUUCACCAUGGAGACCGACCUAAAUAAAACAGUAAUUUGAAUGAAUCUUUGAGCAAAAUAGGCAAUAUAGAGAGAGAAGAAAGCGCGGUGAGUGUUCAGGGUAGAACCUUGUAAGACCAUUUCUGCCAAGAGAGGUCCCUUCUACCUUCAUCGAGACCAUUUAAUGUAAUCGGGCCAAGAACACCAGCAUUCCAUGUUUCAAAGUGAGGGCCAACAUUCUGUGUUUCAGUAACAAGCAGCAAAUAAGUAAUAUAGAAUUGUCAAAAAAGAUCAUACUGCAACACAGUUCAUGAUUCAGAUAGAUCGGCUUAGUAUUGUAAUGCAGGGGUGCUUAUAACAAAUAUAUUUUCAAUGUCUGAGAGAGAGAGAGAGAGAGAGAGCAAACCGGGAGUCCAACUGCAACACUUAGAAGAGAGAUUUUGUUGACACCAGGUAUGAGCUUCACAUUCUGGCUAAAUGUUAGCUUGGGGAAUUCUAAGCUUCCAUAUAUAGUUCCUGAUCAAAAGGAGAGUAACGAUAAUUAUUCAGACUAUUAUUAGCUUUUGAUUACUUAAUGAAGCCUAGAUAUAUUCAUUCCAAGUAUUGUUACUAUGUAUCAUAUCCUCAAUAGCAUACAUCAAAUUUUAAUUUAACAUGAAAUUUCGUAAACCAGUAUAAUGCUCCUCACCUGACAGCUGACUAUUGAUGAAAACAUGCAAAGCAUGCCCUGCAGAUAACACUGUAAGAACAGGAUCCUUUCCACUUCUCAGAAAUCCUUCAUUGGGAUCAAUCACAACACUAGCAAAAAAAGGGAG